UACGAAGGGUGCAAACGUUAAUCGGAAUUACUGGGCGUAAAGCGUGCGCAGGCGGUUUUGUAAGACUGUCGUGAAAUCCCCGGGCUUAACCUGGGAAUGGCGAUGGUGACUGCAAGGCUAGAGUUUGGCAGAGGGGGGUAGAAUUCCACGUGUAGCAGUGAAAUGCGUAGAGAUGUGGAGGAACACCGAUGGCGAAGGCAGCCCCCUGGGUCAAAACUGACGCUCAUGCACGAAAGCGUGGGGAGCAAACAGG
This 253-nucleotide ribosomal RNA is filed under the name uncultured bacterium. Its description in RNAcentral is "partial 16S ribosomal RNA". It matches the Rfam family "Bacterial small subunit ribosomal RNA", at positions 524 to 776 of the family's 1533-position model. The record is from RNAcentral.